RNAcentral lists this ribosomal RNA (478 nucleotides) under uncultured bacterium. Its description in RNAcentral is "partial 16S ribosomal RNA". It matches the Rfam family "Bacterial small subunit ribosomal RNA", at positions 28 to 523 of the family's 1533-position model. The record is from RNAcentral.
GACGAACGCUGGCGGCGUGCUUAACACAUGCAAGUCGAGCGAUGAAGCUCCUUCGGGAGCGGAUUAGCGGCGGACGGGUGAGUAACACGUGGGCAACCUGCCUUAUAGAGAGGAAUAGCCAUUCGAAAGGAUGAUUAAUACCUCAUAAUAUUGUAGCUUCGCAUGGAGCAACAAUCAAAGGAGCAAUCCACUAUAAGAUGGGCCCGCGGCGCAUUAGCUAGUUGGUGAGGUAACGGCUCACCAAGGCGACGAUGCGUAGCCGACCUGAGAGGGUGAUCGGCCACAUUGGGACUGAGACACGGCCCAGACUCCUACGGGAGGCAGCAGUGGGGAAUAUUGCACAAUGGGGGAAACCCUGAUGCAGCAACGCCGCGUGAGUGAUGACGGCCUUCGGGUUGUAAAGCUCUGUCUUCAGGGACGAUAAUGACGGUACCUGAGGAGGAAGCCACGGUUAACUACGUGCCAGCAGCCGCCGUAA